CCUCUCUGAAGAUUGCCCUACUUCUUGCUCACAGUAUGAGAGUAGGAAACACUGUUCAUGUAUAAAAAUAACAAGAGCCUAAAAUAGCUACUGCAGUUGAAGAGGAAGGGCAUAAGAUGCCACAUGCCUUUGUCUUACUUGCUAUAUGCUCCUGUUGUAGUCAUAAUGCCCCAGAGUCAUCUUUGCCACCACUGCUGCGGUAACAGUUUGAGGUGGUACCUUCAUUUCCAGCACGUGUGCUUCAGACGAACUAUGAAUAUGACAAUGCCACUUCCCCAAAUCGAAUUCUGCCACAGCUGA
This 300-nucleotide long non-coding RNA is filed under the name Numida meleagris (helmeted guineafowl). RNAcentral's name for it is "lncRNA (ENSNMEG00000007317.1)". The record is from RNAcentral. Lineage: Eukaryota; Metazoa; Chordata; Aves; Galliformes; Numididae.